UCUCCGUAGGUGAACCUGCGGAGGGAUCAUUACAGAGUUCAUGCCCUACCGGGUAGAUCUCCCACCCUAUGUUAUUAUUACUUUGUUGCUUUGGCGGGCCGUUAGGCUCCGGCCCGACUACCGGCCCCGGCUGGUAAGCGCCCGCCAGAGGACCCAAAACCCUGAAUAUUAGUGUCGUCUGAGUACUAUAUAAUAGUUAAAGCUUUCAACAACGGAUCUCUUGGUUCUG
RNAcentral lists this unclassified non-coding RNA (229 nucleotides) under plant metagenome. RNAcentral describes it as "partial contains small subunit ribosomal RNA, internal transcribed spacer 1, and 5.8S ribosomal RNA". The record is from RNAcentral.